Molecule: transfer RNA, 110 nt
Filed under: Klebsiella pneumoniae
Lineage: Bacteria; Pseudomonadati; Pseudomonadota; Gammaproteobacteria; Enterobacterales; Enterobacteriaceae
Description: tRNA-OTHER
Rfam family: tRNA
About the family: Transfer RNA (tRNA) molecules are approximately 80 nucleotides in length.
Source: RNAcentral
GCAUCCGUAGCUCAGCUGGAUAGAGUACUCGGCUACGAACCGAGCGGUCGGAGGUGAGUACUCGGCUACGAACCGAGCGGUCGGAGGUUCGAAUCCUCCCGGAUGCACCA